GCUGCAGGAGUUGGACGUGGGACAGUGGGAUAUUCAUGCACUCUCGGAGGCUCUCGUUCGGUACCUGCAGGAACUUCCUGCCCCCAUCAUCCCUCCCUCUGUUUAUACAGACCUUCAGGCAGCAGUGCAACUAGAAUCAGACGUUUCCUCCGUGAGGAGACGAGAGCAGCUGCUGCAGGUACUGGAGAAGCCUGAAGUUCCACUGCAGAACCUUCUGACGCUGCAUUAUUUGCUCAAACACCUGGAGAAGGUCUGCCAGCGCGCUGCGCAGAACGGCCUCGACAUUCACACCCUCGGCCAAAUCUUUGGCCCUCUGUUGAUCAGGGGCCCUGGGAGUGGGUCAGAGGAAGAUGAGGGGUUUCCCGCGAUUGCAGUUGAGAGACUUCUUUUGGAGAGAAUUUGGGAACAAGAGCCGACUC
Molecule: long non-coding RNA, 419 nt
Organism: Sinocyclocheilus anshuiensis
Lineage: Eukaryota; Metazoa; Chordata; Actinopteri; Cypriniformes; Cyprinidae
Exons: 3
Source: RefSeq, a predicted model, not a curated record